This 672-nucleotide long non-coding RNA is filed under the name Lotus japonicus. RNAcentral describes it as "long non-coding RNA (LJAP_LNC000010)". The record is from RNAcentral. Lineage: Eukaryota; Viridiplantae; Streptophyta; Magnoliopsida; Fabales; Fabaceae.
UGCAUCAAAAUCAGGUCGUUCAUCAGUAUUUUGGAUCUGCAGGGAAGGAUCUCGCUGAUUUCACCUUUGCUUUUUUCUAUCUAGGUUUCGUGAUUUCUAGCUGUUCUUCACAUGCUUUUCAAUUUGUUCUUAUAGUUGUAUUGGAGAUUUCAAUUGUUGUUCAAAUAUCAAUAAAUUUCGGAAUUUCUCCCUGCCUCAGUUCGCUCAGAAAGCAAAUUCAUGUAUGAAGAAAGUUGAGGUAUGAUUUUUAAUCCUAGGAUUUUUAUCUUCACGUAAGUGUUGUCAAAUCAGUUUUUUCUUUUUGGCUUUUGAGGCUGUAGAACACAAAUAGCUUAAUGUGUGGAUUUUUCCAAAAUAACUCAAUGUGUGAUAAUUAAUCAUUGCAAUUUUCCUAAAGUCAUUCAAUCAUGUCUACACAUCUUUGUAGGAAAUUUAUACUCAGAUGCAUUGCUUCCGCUGGAUUUUGAUUCAAUUUAAACGGUUAGAUUCCUUGAAUUGCUAUAUUUGUCAUUGUGGGGUGAUUCUCUUUGUAUUGGUUGCAGGUUACUUGCAUAAUCUUCUACUUUAUCACCUUGUUUGCCUCAUUGGGUGUUCAUGCAUGCACCUGUUUCUCGUAAUUUUGAUUUGUAGCCAUUUGGAAAUAUUCCUAUAAUUCAAGGGUGGAGAAAGAUC